CAGCUUGAAAGGAAAACAGUUUCGGCAAGCAAAAUAUAACGGAACCAGAUACUCACAUACAAAGUGUUCAAUACUCAAAAUAAGGACAGAGUUACCCUCUUUCUUCGCGACCAGAGAAGAUCGGCCUUCAAUCAACAGAGAAAACCUUAGGUCCAACACCGGAAACCGUAGGUUUUGAAACUCACCGGAAUAAGGUCACAAACACCGGAAAGUUACCCAAAACGUCUAUCAAGCAAAGACAAAGUCAUCGGAUAACACCAAAGCUCUAGGUCCGAAAGUUGGAAAACCCUAGAAUUUGAAGAACUCGUCGGAAUAAAACCAGGGAUGCCGGAAAAUUACCCAAAACACCCACUGAUACAAGAUCGGAACCUUGAAUAACAAGAAAACUCCGAUUAUCCACUCAACAUUCGUGGAAACAUCUCCAAACAGUAUCUCUCACCGAUAACCAUAAAAAAAAACUUCAGCAAAAAGCUUCGAACAGGAUCGAUAACACGCAACCAAGAAGGAUCCGAAGAUCAUCCGGCUCUGAUACCAUGAAAACGUGAAGAUUAAGCUGAAGAACAUGAAGGAUAUAGUGAGAGAAAUAAGAGAGAGAAAAGAUCAUCCGGCUCUGAUACCAUGAAAACGUGAAGAUUAAGCUGAAGAACAUAAAUGAUAUAGUGAGAGAAAUAAGAGAGAGAAAUGGAGUAGUUGAGAGAACUCUCCAGAAGAUCGAGAAAAUCUGUCAAGUAAAAAUGAAUCACUUAAUUACAAAAUAUCUAUACCUAACUAUAUACAUCACUCCACUCUUGGGUCGAGUCAGACGGCCAAGACUAAAAUAAACUUGGGCUCAGAUAUGGGCUUAG
RNAcentral lists this long non-coding RNA (845 nucleotides) under Nicotiana benthamiana. RNAcentral's name for it is "long non-coding RNA (NBEN_LNC035198)". The record is from RNAcentral. Lineage: Eukaryota; Viridiplantae; Streptophyta; Magnoliopsida; Solanales; Solanaceae.